AACGAACGCUGGCGGCAUGCCUAACACAUGCAAGUCGAACGAGACCUUCGGGUCUAGUGGCGCACGGGUGCGUAACGCGUGGGAACCUGCCCUUAGGUUCGGAAUAACUCCCCGAAAGGGGUGCUAAUACCGGAUAAUGUCUUCGGACCAAAGAUUUAUCGCCUUUGGAUGGGCCCGCGUUGGAUUAGCUAGUUGGUAGGGUAAAAGCCUACCAAGGCGACGAUCCAUAGCUGGUCUGAGAGGAUGAUCAGCCACACUGGGACUGAGACACGGCCCAGACUCCUACGGGAGGCAGCAGUGGGGAAUAUUGGACAAUAAGCGAAGGCCUGAUCCAGCAAUGCCGCGUGAGUGAUGAAGGCCUUAGGGUUGUAAAGCUCUUUUACCCGGGAUGAUAAUGACAGUACCGGGAGAAUGAGCGCCGGCUAACUCCGUG
RNAcentral lists this ribosomal RNA (433 nucleotides) under uncultured bacterium. RNAcentral's name for it is "partial 16S ribosomal RNA". It matches the Rfam family "Bacterial small subunit ribosomal RNA", at positions 29 to 507 of the family's 1533-position model. The record is from RNAcentral.